UUCCUGGAGGUCUAGUGGUUAAGAUUCUGUGCUUUCAAUGCAGAGAGCCUGGGUUCAAUUCUUGGUCAGGAAG
Bos taurus (domestic cattle) is the source of this 73-nucleotide non-coding RNA. The record is from Rfam. Lineage: Eukaryota; Metazoa; Chordata; Mammalia; Artiodactyla; Bovidae.